UACGAAGGGGGGCUAGCGUUGUUCGGAAUUACUGGGCGUAAAGCGCGCGCAGGCGGCUAUCCAAGUCAGUGGUGAAAGCCCGGAGCUCAACUCCGGAACUGCCAUUGAAACUGUUUUAGCUUGAGGACGAGAGAGGUGAGUGGAAUUCCCAGUGUAGAGGUGAAAUUCGUAGAUAUUGGGAAGAACACCGGAGGCGAAGGCGGCUCACUGGGGGGUCUUCUGACGCUGAGGAACGAAAGCCAGGGGGAGCGAACGGGG
RNAcentral lists this ribosomal RNA (258 nucleotides) under uncultured bacterium. Its description in RNAcentral is "partial 16S ribosomal RNA". It matches the Rfam family "Bacterial small subunit ribosomal RNA", at positions 524 to 777 of the family's 1533-position model. The record is from RNAcentral.